GGCAAAAGCUCAAAUUUGAAAUCUUGGCGCCUUCGGUGUCCGAGUUGUAAUUUGAAGAUUGUAACCUUGGGGUUGGCUCUUGUCUAUGUUUCUUGGAACAGGACGUCACAGAGGGUGAGAAUCCCGUGCGAUGAGAUGCCCAAUUCUAUGUAAGGUGCUUUCGAAGAGUCGAGUUGUUUGGGAAUGCAGCUCUAAGUGGGUGGUAAAUUUCCAUCUAAAGCUAAAUAUUGGCGAGAGACCGAUAGCGAACAAGUACAGUGAUGGAAAGAUGAAAAGAACUUUGAAAAGAGAGUGAAAAAGUACGUGAAAUUGUUGAAAGGGAAGGGUUUGAGAUCAGACUCGAUAUUUUGUGAGCCUUGCCUUCGUGGCGGGGUGACCCGCAGCUUAUCGGGCCAGCAUCGGUUUGGGCGGUAGGAUAAUGGCGUAGGAAUGUGACUUUACUUCGGUGAAAGUGUUAUAGCCUGCGUUGAUGCUGCCUGCCUAGACCGAGGACUGCGAUUUUAUCAAGGAUGCUGGCAUAAUGAUCCCAAACCGCCCGUCUUGAA
This 545-nucleotide ribosomal RNA is filed under the name Meyerozyma guilliermondii. Its description in RNAcentral is "eukaryotic LSU rRNA". It matches the Rfam family "Eukaryotic large subunit ribosomal RNA", at positions 100 to 658 of the family's 3401-position model. The record is from RNAcentral. Lineage: Eukaryota; Fungi; Ascomycota; Pichiomycetes; Serinales; Debaryomycetaceae.